AGCGAACGCUGGCGGCAGGCUUAACACAUGCAAGUCGAGCGGAUGUAGCAAUACAUCAGCGGCAGACGGGUGAGUAACACGUGGGAACGUACCUUUUGGUUCGGGACAACCCAGGGAAACUUGGGCUAAUACCGGAUAAGCCCUUACGGGGAAAGAUUUAUCGCCGAAAGAUCGGCCCGCGUCUGAUUAGCUAGUUGGUGAGGUAAUGGCUCACCAAGGCGACGAUCAGUAGCUGGUCUGAGAGGAUGAUCAGCCACAUUGGGACUGAGACACGGCCCAAACUCCUACGGGAGGCAGCAGUGGGGAAUAUUGGACAAUGGGCGCAAGCCUGAUCCAGCCAUGCCGCGUGAGUGAUGAAGGCCCUAGGGUUGUAAAGCUCUUUUGUGCGGGAAGAUAAUGACUGUACCGGGAGAAUAAGCCCCGGCUAACUCCGUGCCAGCAGCCGCGGUAAU
This 452-nucleotide ribosomal RNA is filed under the name uncultured bacterium. RNAcentral's name for it is "bacterial SSU rRNA". It matches the Rfam family "Bacterial small subunit ribosomal RNA", at positions 29 to 524 of the family's 1533-position model. The record is from RNAcentral.